UUUAUUUUUAUUUUUCUCUUCCACUCUCUCUCUCUCUCUUAUUCUUUGUUCUUCUUCUCUUCCACGAUGAACCCUCUGACCAUCGUGCUUCACCGUUAGAUCGACAUGGGGUUCCAGGCAAAGCUUCCCUUCCCUGAGAUGCAACACCUAACCAUUCAGAUAGGCUUAAAACGUCUUGGAGCGUAGACUAAACCUUGGACCAGUGAAGAAGAUUCUUCUUCUGUGUCAAUAGGGAUGUUGUGCGGAAUUUGGGUCUGAAAUAGGGAUUGAUUCUAGUUUCGGACCAUGGAGAUUGGUGUUUCUAACAGGCAGUGAGGGCUUUGGCCUCACUUGGUCUAAAAUGUGACCGUAGAUCUGUUAGCAUCAACGAUGAAGCGCUUGUUCAAAUUUCGGAGUGUUGCUGGAACUUGACUUGUCUUAAGUUCUGAGCAUGUCAAGACUUAACCAAUGCAGGGGGUUGUAAAAGAAAAAGAAGACGAUGAUAAUAAAAAAGCAAUGGGUUGUAGAAAAUUUAUUUGUUUAAAAUGAGAAAAACUAUAGGCUGCAACAUUUUCCACCUAAAAAGUAAAAGAUUGAAAAUGUGAGAAUAUUGACUUGUUUCAAAUGAAAAUAAGAUGGACUUGUACUUUUAUUUUAA
Molecule: long non-coding RNA, 637 nt
Organism: Gossypium arboreum
Lineage: Eukaryota; Viridiplantae; Streptophyta; Magnoliopsida; Malvales; Malvaceae
Exons: 2
Source: RefSeq, a predicted model, not a curated record